AGGGAUAUUAGUUUAAUGGUAGAACAAGAUGGUACGGUCAUCUUGAUUGUAGUUCAAGUCUGCAAUAUCCUUA
RNAcentral lists this transfer RNA (73 nucleotides) under Fusarium acuminatum CS5907. It matches the Rfam family "tRNA". Rfam says of the family: Transfer RNA (tRNA) molecules are approximately 80 nucleotides in length. Their secondary structure includes four short double-helical elements and three loops (D, anti-codon, and T loops). The record is from RNAcentral. Lineage: Eukaryota; Fungi; Ascomycota; Sordariomycetes; Hypocreales; Nectriaceae.